GGUCAGGCCGGGCGGUGGCGCGCCGGCCGCUUCCGGCGCGGCCGCGGACGCGGCCGGGCUCGGGCCGCGCGCGCGGCUG
This 79-nucleotide transfer RNA is filed under the name Streptomyces echinoruber. RNAcentral describes it as "tRNA-Arg". The record is from RNAcentral. Lineage: Bacteria; Bacillati; Actinomycetota; Actinomycetes; Kitasatosporales; Streptomycetaceae.